This is a long non-coding RNA of Neofelis nebulosa (Clouded leopard), 2424 nucleotides long. RefSeq lists it as uncharacterized. The record is from RefSeq and is a predicted model, not a curated record. The transcript is spliced from 2 exons. Lineage: Eukaryota; Metazoa; Chordata; Mammalia; Carnivora; Felidae.
CUUCCUAGCCCUCUGAACUUGGGGGCGGGCUUAUCUGAUGUGAGUGACAGGGGCAUGGGCCACUCCUAGCCUGGGUAGACCAAUCUUAAUGGGGGGGGGGGGCGAUCUGUUCCCCAGGCAACAGGCUGUCCGGGGUUAGACCUAAUAACCUUGACCUCUUCCUUUGUUGCCCUAGCAUUGAAGUCUCCAGGCCAUUAGACUAAACCAGGGAAUCAUAAUAAUCGUAAUAAUUGACAACUGUAUGGUUUCCAACAGUGUUUUUUUUGGAAACAACUAUAAGUUACCUGUUAGGAGCCCUGCAAACAAUGUAGUGAAUUGAACCAGCAUUUAAAAAAAACAAUAGAAUAGAAAAUACCAAGUGACUCUAGAGUAGUAAGUAUUCUUUUUGUGAAACCUUUGUUUCAAUUGUAAAUAUUUAUAUAUGUAUAUUUUAUAUACUGGCUUACCACGUGAAAAUUACUUUUUAAAUGGUGUGUGUAUGCUUUUGUGGUCCUUAGUUAGAAAGGUCCUUAGUUACACUUGCUGUAAAGCACAUUUCAUGUAUAUUGUUUCACGUAAUGAGCACAACAACCCUGAGAGCUUGUAUUAUUAUUCAGUAUUUUUGGAUGAGAAAAACAGGUUCAGCAAGAUUAAGUAAGUCUUUCUUUGGGGUGCCUCAUCAAUCAGGGCAUCAGAAGUAUUAUUUGCAAAAUUCUGUAGUUGUUCAAUACACUUUAAAGUUCAGAUCUGCAGCUCUAGGCCAGUUAUGCACUGGUUUUUCAGGAGCCAACGUUGUAAAAAUAAUAUCUACCUCACCUGGGGAUGUUGGACCAGGGGCUGGUCCCGCUUUCUGUAUCUGAGCAUGAUGGGAGAAGGCACUGAAAAGCAGGACAUUUUUGUCUGGGAGUGUGAGAGGGGGAUGACACAUUUUGUCCCAGAGGUCCCAAUGGAUCUGACAGCCAGGUAAGAUGAAAACAAGGAAGAGCAAACAAAACGGUAAACAGGAGGCAGUCUAGACAAACGCUGGGGACUGCAGAUACAUUCAUGUUUCUGUUUUUGGUGAUACAUAUACUGUGGGGUUGGCCGGGUCUAUUCAAAGGUACUGUGUCACACAGGUGUACCUAAUGCUUUCAAUAUAUUAUCUAAUUACGGAGGGGCUGCAUGCAACCUCCGGCUACCAUAUCUCUAUCCUUCUCCCAUUGUAGCUGAAACCCUAAGCUUCAUUGUUGGUUUUAAGGGGUAGGAAAAUAAAAAGCCAAUUUAAAAAUGUUUACCUCUCAAUGUAAAGUUAAAAUGUUUUGAGUUCUGUUUCUUCUGUUAUUUCUUCAUUGUUUUCUCUUCUUCCAGCCUUUUGAAUGAAAUUGUAAAAUAAAUAAAUAAAUUCAUAAAUAACCCAGGACAAAAUAGAUGAGGAUCACCCUGCUUCUGCCACCAAGUGCCCUGGCCUGACCCAGUUCUCUGAAAUUAUACCCUGACCCAGCACUUUGCAGUGCCUCAGUUUUAUCUUCUCCAUUACUUGAGUUUCUUGUUCUUGACCUUUCUGUGCCAAGGGGCGCCUGCUAAUGUUUGUCCUGUAGGUCAUGUCAUUAUGGUAUUAUGUUACAUGGCAACUUGGAUACCAUGCCUUUUAGCUUUUGUCAAGAGAACCAAAUGAAUUUAGAAAGGGAGGAAAGAUAAGUCUUCAGGAAAUAUGACAUGGACCAAGUCCCUCUCCCCACUGUGUGUCAAUUACUGUAACUGCCUUGCAUUAUAGUCACAGUAAGUGGAACACAGGGGUUGCACAGCCAUGUGGACAGAGCCCUGGUUCCACAAGGAGCACCCAUGUUCUUGACUCUUUCGAGGGGGAUGGUUGGUGGGUCUCCACCGGCACCAUCUAGAGCUCACCUUUUUAAAGUCAAGCACUCUUCCAGUAUCAGUUUUGGCUUACUCCCCAGAACUGCCUAACCAGACCAUCUUCCUGGUUAGAUGACAUGGUACAAUUGUGUGGGUAGUGGCAUAGUCUUUACCAACCAGCCAAAUGGUAGCUUCAGUAGAAACCUGCUAUGGGAGUGGGGAGUGGUGGGGAGGUGUUAGGUGGGAAGGAUUUCUAGGGAGAUUCUUUGUCCACUUCUUCCUCCAGGAGUAGACCCCAGUAGAGGGGUCCAAGUUCUGUCUGCUUAGGAAGGCCAGGGGGCUCACAGUCACAACCCUGAGAUCAAGAGUCACAUGCUUUACCAACUGAGCCAGCCAGGCACCCCAGGGUUGUUGCCUGUUAAAAGACUUCUGGCCAUUUACUUAAGGAUGAAGAGUGGUCCUUCAUGGUCUCUGAAGUCAAAACAUGAGGACAUGGGCUUCAAACACAAAGGAUGAUGAAAAUGUUUUAGAACUAAACAGAAGUGGCAGUUGUACAACAUUGUAAUUAGACUAAAUACCACUGAAUUGUUCACAUUAAAAUGGUUAAUUUUA